Molecule: ribosomal RNA, 440 nt
Filed under: uncultured bacterium
Lineage: Bacteria
Description: partial 16S ribosomal RNA
Rfam family: Bacterial small subunit ribosomal RNA
Source: RNAcentral
CCUACGGGAGGCAGCAGUAGGGAAUAUUGCUCAAUGGGGGAAACCCUGAAGCAGCCACGCCGCGUGGAGGAUGAAGGUCCUCGGAUUGUAAACUCCUUUUGUUAGAGAAGAUAAUGACGGUAUCUAACGAAUAAGCACCGGCUAACUCCGUGCCAGCAGACGCGGUAAUACGGAGGGUGCAAGCGUUACUCGGAAUCACUGGGCGUAAAGGGCGCGUAGGCGGGAUAGCAAGUCAGAUGUGAAAUCCUAUGGCUUAACCAUAGAACUGCAUUUGAAACUGUUAUUCUAGAGUAUGGGAGAGGUAGGUGGAAUUCUUGGUGUAGGGGUAAAAUCCGUAGAGAUCAAGAAGAAUACUCAUUGCGAAGGCGACCUGCUAGAACAUAACUGACGCUGAUGCGCGAAAGCGUGGGGAGCAAACAGGAUUAGAUACCCGUGUAGUC